Molecule: ribosomal RNA, 328 nt
Filed under: uncultured eukaryote
Lineage: Eukaryota
Description: partial 18S ribosomal RNA
Rfam family: Eukaryotic small subunit ribosomal RNA
Source: RNAcentral
CCCUUAGAUGCUCUGGGCCGCACGCGCGCUACACUGGUCGAUGCAACGAGUUUCUUUCCUUGGCCGACAGGCCUGGGCAAUCUUUGAACAUCGAUCGUGAUCGGGAUAGAUUCUUGUAAUUUUUGAUCUUAAACGAGGAAUUCCUAGUAAACGCAAGUCAUCAGCUUGCAUUGAUUACGUCCCUGCCCUUUGUACACACCGCCCGUCGCUCCUACCGAUUGAAUGGUCCGGUGAAGCGUUCGGACCGUGGCCUUUGGACGGUUCGCCGUCUGUUGGCUGCGGGAAGUUCGUUAAACCUUAUCAUUUAGAGGAAGGAGAAGUCGUANCA